CCUACGGGUGGCAGCAGUGGGGGAUAUUGGACAAUGGGGGAAACCCUGAACCAGCGACGCCGCGUGAGUGAAGAAGUAUUUCGGUAUUGAAAGCUCUGUCAGCAGGGAAGUAAGAAAUGACGGGAGCUGAUCAAGAAGCCUCGGCUAACUAUGUGCCAGCAGCCGCGGUAAUACGGAGGGGGCAAGCGUAAUCCGGAAUUACUGGGUGUAAAGGGAGCGUAGGGGGUGAUGCAAGUCUGGAGUGAAAGGCCGGGGCCCAACCCCUGGACUGCUCUGGAAACUGUAUAACUUGAGUGCAGGAGAGGUAAGCGGAAUUCCUGGUGUAGCGGUGAAAUGCGUAGAUAUUA
Molecule: ribosomal RNA, 347 nt
Filed under: uncultured bacterium
Lineage: Bacteria
Description: partial 16S ribosomal RNA
Rfam family: Bacterial small subunit ribosomal RNA
Source: RNAcentral